Molecule: RNA transcript, 1490 nt
Organism: Hemicordylus capensis (graceful crag lizard)
Lineage: Eukaryota; Metazoa; Chordata; Lepidosauria; Squamata; Cordylidae
Exons: 4
Source: RefSeq, a predicted model, not a curated record
UAGGGAAUUGGCCCCAGAGAUGAUGCUGGAGCCAGAGAAGCUGCCAGAGCCACUUUAGAGCCUUGGAGACUAGAGGUGCACAGGGCUUAUCGAUUCUUCACUUGCCCCCUGUACCAGAGCUAGUUAUGCCAGGUGAGGUGAUAGAAGGGCUAAAUCAGCAUCUUGGAUCAGUAACGGGCUGAAUGAAAGGCACUAAACUGAAGCACAAAUUUGACAAGAUGGAGGUUGGAGGCGUUGGAAAGGGGGGGAGCCAGCCGGCCCGGCUCCUCCUUCAGGUCCUGAAGAUCCGUCCGCGCCUAUUGACCUGGUUCCAGAAGGGCCUGCCCCAGUGGCUCUGAUGCCGUCGCCUGAGGACCCAGCUCCUGUGCUGCCUUCUCCGUUGCUUCCAUCACCUGCUGCACCUGUGGUGCCUCCGCCGGUGGAUCCUCGAGUACCUGUUGCCCCGGGUGCUGGUGGGGCAGUGGCUCCGGUACGGGUCCUGAUCUGUGGCCAUUCGCUGGUCUUUUGGGCCUUCAAGCGGACCAGCACCUCCCACUGGGGUUCCCAACUUGGGUUUGGUCGAAGAGCCUCGGUGUAUUGGCUGGACAUGCGGGGCAUGCUGUGGGAUCAGCUGCUUCCGGCCAUUAGGGAUCACUUAGCUAGGUUUCCCAUGCCCUUAGUUCUUGUUCUUCACUUGGGUGAAAAUGAUUUAGGCAGGCGGACUGGCCUGUCCAUCGUGCAGCAAGCUGCCUCCGAUUUGUUGACAUUGCGCAGGUGGAUGCCUGGGGUGCGUAUCCUGUGGGUUAAUUGGUUCCAGCGCAGAGUUUGGCGCACUGCGUUAGAUGGGUGCCAGUUAGAAAAGGCACGACGCAAGGUUUCAGCCGCUAUAGGUAAGUUAGUUGUGGCGGUUGGCGGAGACAUCAUUAGACAACCAGAUUUAGCGGCCCGUUUCCCCGAGCUCUAUCACCCAGACGGGGUUCAUCUUUCGGAGGUUGGGUGUGAUUUGUUCCUGCGCAAUAUUCGGACUGAGCUGGUUGCACUUUUGGAUAGUUUGGGGCAGGGAGGCCAAGCGUAGGCUGACCUCCCUGAGUGGCAGUAACAGUGCGGGCUAAGGGGUAAGUGGUUAGUUAGAGUAUGGUGAGCACCCUUGGAUAUUGUAAGGUGGAAUGGUCAAUCGCUCCUUUGUAGCCUGUGCGGCACGGGGAGAAAUUGAUUGCCAGGAAGCCUGCUUAAGGAUUUCAUCAACCUUUGGGCUGUGCGGUCCGGGGUGGGUGAAGACCUUGAGCUGUCCAGAUCCCCUCUUCUCGGGAGGGUGGUUGGCUUUGAAGGUAACAGGUGGGGUAUACCCACCUGUUUCCUGAGCCAGGGUGUGUCGCCCAUGUCAGGUGAUGAAUAGGAUGGUAGCAUCCUAGAUCAUGCCUAGGGGCCUGCACUGUUCUAUGUUGGUGAUUAAUCACCUGGUUUACAGUCCGCUUCUGCCUAUUUGUUUAUUAAUAAAGCGUGGCCCUUUU